UCGCCGAACCCUCUUCAUCAAGUCUGGGUGCGGGAAGAUCAGCAGGUAUUGGCAUAUUUGCUGGUUAAUCUUUCCAGAGAAGUUCUUGUCCAGGUGACCAACAUCCACAAGGCGCAUGAGCUCUGGGCUGCGGUGGCGAACAUGUUUUCGUCCCAGUCCAGAUCGCGCGUGAACAACAUCCGUGUCGCCCUCUCCAACGCAGAGAAGGGCACAUAG
RNAcentral lists this ribosomal RNA (216 nucleotides) under Triticum aestivum (bread wheat). RNAcentral's name for it is "partial small subunit ribosomal RNA". The record is from RNAcentral. Lineage: Eukaryota; Viridiplantae; Streptophyta; Magnoliopsida; Poales; Poaceae.